AUGGCUUUCAAAUACACAAUGAGAGAUGAUGGUCUCUAUCACCGAUCGGUUGACGAUAUUCUUUUAAAGUGCUUGGACGAGGACCAAGCGAGAGUUGCUAUGGGAGAGGUCCAUGAAGGUAUUUGUGGCACUCAUCAGUCGGCUCCCAAGAUGAAAUGGUUACUACGACGUGCUGGGUUUUAUUGGACGACAAUGGUUAGUGAUUCCUUCCGGUACUAUGAAGGAUGUGAAGCUUGUCAAAAGUUUGGUGAUAUUCAGUUAGCUCCCGCUGCUAUGUUACAUCCUAUUAUCAAGCCGUGGCCUUUUAGAGGUUGGGGAUUAGACUUUAUUGGAGAGAUUCAUCCUUCUUCUUCAAAGGGGCAUCGGUUUGUGUUGGUGGGAACUGAUUAUUUCACUAAAUGGUCUGAAGCAAUACCACUCAAAAAUAUGACGCAUACAUAG
Molecule: ribosomal RNA, 441 nt
Filed under: Triticum aestivum (bread wheat)
Lineage: Eukaryota; Viridiplantae; Streptophyta; Magnoliopsida; Poales; Poaceae
Description: partial small subunit ribosomal RNA
Source: RNAcentral